GACGAACGCUGGCGGCGUGCUUAACACAUGCAAGUCGAACGGAAAGGCCCUGCUUUUGUGGGGUGCUCGAGUGGCGAACGGGUGAGUAACACGUGAGUAACCUGCCCUUGACUUUUGGAUAACUUCAGGAAACUGGGGCUAAUACCGGAUAGGAGCUCCUGCUGCAUGGUGGGGGUUGGAAAGUUUCGGCGGUUGGGGAUGGACUCGCGGCUUAUCAGCUUGUUGGUGGGGUAGUGGCUUACCAAGGCUUUGACGGGUAGCCGGCCUGAGAGGGUGACCGGCCACAUUGGGACUGAGAUACGGCCCAGACUCCUACGGGAGGCAGCAGUGGGGAAUAUUGCACAAUGGGCGGAAGCCUGAUGCAGCAACGCCGCGUGCGGAAUGACGGCCUUCGGGUUGUAAACCGCUUUCGCCUGUGACGAAGCGUGAGUGACGGUAAUGGGUAAAGAAGCACCGGCUAACUACGUG
This 468-nucleotide ribosomal RNA is filed under the name uncultured bacterium. Its description in RNAcentral is "partial 16S ribosomal RNA". It matches the Rfam family "Bacterial small subunit ribosomal RNA", at positions 28 to 507 of the family's 1533-position model. The record is from RNAcentral.